AACGUUGCGUCAGCAACGGCCCGCAUGGCAAGGCGAAGCCGAGUUAUCCUGCACGACCCACCA
This 63-nucleotide small RNA is filed under the name Salmonella enterica subsp. enterica serovar Paratyphi A. RNAcentral describes it as "partial RtT sRNA". It matches the Rfam family "RtT RNA", at positions 64 to 130 of the family's 130-position model. Rfam says of the family: This family represents a bacterial cis-regulatory element known as RtT RNA. The exact function of RtT is unknown although it is thought that it may be involved in changing the cellular response in relation to amino acid starvation. Lineage: Bacteria; Pseudomonadati; Pseudomonadota; Gammaproteobacteria; Enterobacterales; Enterobacteriaceae. The record is from RNAcentral.